Molecule: ribosomal RNA, 510 nt
Filed under: uncultured bacterium
Lineage: Bacteria
Description: partial 16S ribosomal RNA
Rfam family: Bacterial small subunit ribosomal RNA
Source: RNAcentral
GACGAACGCUGGCGGCGUGCUUAACACAUGCAAGUCGAACGAAGAGCGACGGAAGCUUGCUUCUAUCAAUCUUAGUGGCGAACGGGUGAGUAACGCGUAACCAACCUGCCCUUCAGAGGGGGACAACAGUUGGAAACGACUGCUAAUACCGCAUACGAUCUAAUCUCGGCAUCGAGGAUGGAUGAAAGGUGGCCUCUACAUGUAAGCUAUCACUGAAGGAGGGGAUUGCGUCUGUUUAGCUAGUUGGAGGGGUAACGGCCCACCAAGGCGAUGAUCAGUAGCCGGUCUGAGAGGAUGGACGGCCACAUUGGGACUGAGACGCGGCCCAGACUGCUACGGGAGGCAGCAGUGGGGAAACUUGCGCAAUGGGCGAAAGUCUGACGGAGCAACGCCGCGUGAGUGAUGACGGCCUUCGGGUUGUAAAGCUCUGUUAAUCGGGACGAAAGGCCUUCUUGCGAAUAGUGAGAAGGAUUGACGGUACCGGAAUAGAAAGCCACGGCUAACUACGUG